This 477-nucleotide ribosomal RNA is filed under the name uncultured bacterium. RNAcentral's name for it is "bacterial SSU rRNA". It matches the Rfam family "Bacterial small subunit ribosomal RNA", at positions 28 to 498 of the family's 1533-position model. The record is from RNAcentral.
GAUGAACGCUAGCGGCAGGCUUAACACAUGCAAGUCGAGGGGUAGAAGCAGCUUGCUGCUUUGAGACCGGCGCACGGGUGCGUAACGCGUAUGCAAUCUACCUUUUACAGAGGGAUAGCCCAGAGAAAUUUGGAUUAAUACCUCAUAGUAUGUGAGAAUCGCAUGGUUUUCACAUUAAAGUUCCAACGGUAAAAGAUGAGCAUGCGUCCCAUUAGCUAGAUGGUAAGGUAACGGCUUACCAUGGCGACGAUGGGUAGGGGUCCUGAGAGGGAGAUCCCCCACACUGGUACUGAGACACGGACCAGACUCCUACGGGAGGCAGCAGUGAGGAAUAUUGGACAAUGGGCGCAAGCCUGAUCCAGCCAUGCCGCGUGCAGGAUGACGGUCCUAUGGAUUGUAAACUGCUUUUGUACAGAACGAAAAGGUCUCUAUUAAUACUAGGGGCUCAUGACGGUACUGUAAGAAUAAGCACCGGCU